UGGGGAAUCUUGGACAAUGGGCGAAAGCCUGAUCCAGCCAUGCCGCGUGAGUGACGAAGGCCUUCGGGUUGUAAAGCUCUUUUGGCGGGGACGAUAAUGACGGUACCCGCAGAAUAAGCCCCGGCUAACUUCGUGCCAGCAGCCGCGGUAAUACGAAGGGGGCUAGCGUUGUUCGGAAUUACUGGGCGUAAAGCGCACGUAGGCGGAUUUGUAAGUCAGGGGUGAAAUCCCGGGGCUCAACCUCGGAACUGCCUUUGAUACUGCAAGUCUCGAGUCCGGAAGAGGUGAGUGGAAUUCCUAGUGUAGAGGUGGAAUUCGUAGAUAUUAGGAAGAACACCAGUGGCGAAGGCGGCUCACUGGUCCGGUACUGACGCUGAGGUGCGAAAGCGCGGGGAGCAAACAGGAUUAGAUACCCGCGUAGUCCCUGAGCGGGCUGGCAAGGCGCAU
Molecule: ribosomal RNA, 447 nt
Filed under: uncultured bacterium
Lineage: Bacteria
Description: bacterial SSU rRNA
Rfam family: Bacterial small subunit ribosomal RNA
Source: RNAcentral